This 1376-nucleotide long non-coding RNA is filed under the name Chloebia gouldiae (Gouldian finch). Its description in RNAcentral is "Erythrura gouldiae (Gouldian finch) lncRNA (ENSEGOG00005012562.1)". Lineage: Eukaryota; Metazoa; Chordata; Aves; Passeriformes; Passeridae. The record is from RNAcentral.
CUGGAGCUCUCCAUCCAUGUGCCACAUGGAGCCAUGGCUGCUUCCCUGGAAACAGGGAAGAAUCUGGAAUCCUGGAUCCACAUAAUGGGACUCAGCCUGAACCUUCCUGGAAUAAAGAGCCGACUUUUUGUUUAGCCAUUAAGAAAGGGGAAAAAAAAAUCCAAGGCGCUGUUUUGUUCCGGAAACUUCUGGGCACAUUAAGCGAAACCAGAUCCCAGAGGGUGGGGGGAGAGAGGGAUACAGGAAAGCAAUCAAAUCCUACUGGAGGAAUUCCUCCUUUCUGGAAGAACAUAAACCAGGAGCAGAAUGUAAACAACCCUCCAUAUGUCCCUUGUAAAUCAGGAGCAACGGGAAUGAAUUCCCAGCAGGGACGGGACAUUGGGAAUGUUCGGCUGGGGAGUCCUUUUGAGGUUUUCUUCAUCUUGAUGGAUUUAAUUUGGAAUUUGUCCUUCUUUUCUCUCCUCUUCCUGCUCCCCCAGGAUGAACCAGGACCUGAACUCUCUGAAGAGGUGCCUGGAGUAAUUCCAAAGGAUUAAUUAGGCAGGGCUGGAGCACAGGGAUUAACGAGGGCUGAUAAUGGUCCCUCGAUCAGGAGAUGUUGGGAAAAGGCUGGAUUCUCCUCCUGGGUCCACGGGUCACCUGUGCUGUCCAUUGUUUGAGCUGGGACGUUCAUUCCCGGUUUAUUUAAAUUCCAAGGAGCGAUCCCUCCUUAAACUCUCCUUGGAAUACAUUCUACAGCUGGAAAAUGAUUUUAAAAGGCUCCAAGCAACUCCAUUUAUCCUUGAGAAAAGCUCCUUUCACUCCAAAUCCUUUUUCUAACCAAGGGGGGGGGAAAUAUGGGCACAGGACUUUUAAACCCAACAAUUCCAGAAUGGGAUUAGGUUGGAUAGGACCUUGGAGAUCAUCUCAUUCCAGCCCCUUCCAUGGGCAGGGAAUCUUCCACUAUCCCAGGCUGCUCCAAGCCCUGUCCAGCCUGGCCUUGGACACUUCCAGGGAUGGGAAAUCCACAACAUCUGGGCAUCCCAUGACAGGUGAAGCUCAGAUGUCACUUCUGGCAAAGACAUCAAACUUCCCAGAAUCCCAGGAUCACUGAGGUCAGAAAAUCCCGCCAGGAUCAUCGAGUCCAAGCUGUGCCCCAUCCCCACCUUGGAACUGAGCGCCGCAUCCAGGAAUUCCUUGGACACCUCCAGGGAUGGGACCUCCAAAGCUCCCUGGGCACCUUCAAUGCCUGACUGCCCUUUCCAUGGAGAAAUUCCUUGAAUUUAGUUUUGUUUUCCAGCCCUUUCCCCAGGUUUUUUGCUCUCUGUGUGUCCCAUCUCCACUUUGGAACAACUCUUAUUUCACUUUCUCCUCCUUGACGUGUGCCUGGAUUCCUG